This 500-nucleotide ribosomal RNA is filed under the name uncultured bacterium. RNAcentral describes it as "partial 16S ribosomal RNA". It matches the Rfam family "Bacterial small subunit ribosomal RNA", at positions 30 to 523 of the family's 1533-position model. The record is from RNAcentral.
AUUGAACGCUGGCGGAAUGCUUUACACAUGCAAGUCGAACGGCAGCACGGACUUCGGUCUGGUGGCGAGUGGCGAACGGGUGAGUAAUGUAUCGGAACGUGCCCAGUCGUGGGGGAUAACGUAGUGAAAAUUACGCUAAUACCGCAUACGAUCUAUGGAUGAAAGCGGGGGAUCGCAAGACCUCGCGCGAUUGGACCGGCCGAUAUCAGAUUAGGUAGUUGGUGGGGGAAAGGCCCACCAAGCCAACGAUCUGUAGCUGGUCUGAGAGGACGACCAGCCACACUGGAACUGAGACACGGUCCAGACUCCUACGGGAGGCAGCAGUGGGGAAUUUUGGACAAUGGGCGAAAGCCUGAUCCAGCCAUUCCGCGUGCAGGAUGAAGGCCCUCGGGUUGUAAACUGCUUUUGUACAGAACGAAAAGGUUUCUACUAAUACUAGGAGCUCAUGACGGUACUGUAAGAAUAAGCACCGGCUAACUGCGUGCCAGCAGCCGCCGCGG